Molecule: ribosomal RNA, 460 nt
Filed under: uncultured bacterium
Lineage: Bacteria
Description: partial 16S ribosomal RNA
Rfam family: Bacterial small subunit ribosomal RNA
Source: RNAcentral
CCUACGGGUGGCAGCAGUGAGGAAUAUUGGUCAAUGGACGAGAGUCUGAACCAGCCAAGUAGCGUGAAGGAUGACUGCCCUAUGGGUUGUAAACUGCUUUUAUAAAGGAAUAAAGCUAGGCACGUGUGCCUUUUUGUAUGUACUUUAUGAAUAAGGAUCGGCUAACUCCGUGCCAGCAGCCGCGGUAAUACGGAGGAUCCGAGCGUUAUCCGGAUUUAUUGGGUUUAAAGGGAGCGUAGACGGGUUGUUAAGUCAGAUGUGAAAGUUGAGGGCUCAACCGCAGAACUGCAUUGAAUACUGGCAGUCUAGAGUGCAGUUGAGGUAGGCGGAAUUCCUGGUGUAGCGGUGAAAUGCUUAGAUAUUACGCAGAACCCCGAUUGCGAAGGCAGCUUACUAAACUGUAACUGACGUUGAGGCUCGAAAGCGUGGGGAGCAAACAGGAUUAGAUACCCGAGUAGUC